UACGUAGGGUGCAAGCGUUAAUCGGAAUUACUGGGCGUAAAGCGUGCGCAGGCGGCUAUGCAAGACAGAUGUGAAGUCCCCGGGCUCAACCUGGGAACUGCAUUUGUGACUGCAUGGCUAGAGUACGGUAGAGGGGGAUGGAAUUCCGCGUGUAGCAGUGAAAUGCGUAGAUAUGCGGAGGAACACCGAUGGCGAAGGCAAUCCCCUGGACCUGUACUGACGCUCAUGCACGAAAGCGUGGGGAGCAAACAGG
RNAcentral lists this ribosomal RNA (253 nucleotides) under uncultured bacterium. RNAcentral's name for it is "partial 16S ribosomal RNA". It matches the Rfam family "Bacterial small subunit ribosomal RNA", at positions 524 to 776 of the family's 1533-position model. The record is from RNAcentral.